Long non-coding RNA from Malaclemys terrapin pileata, 2423 nucleotides. RefSeq lists it as uncharacterized. The transcript is spliced from 3 exons. The record is from RefSeq and is a predicted model, not a curated record. NCBI's taxonomy places the organism in Eukaryota, Metazoa, Chordata, Testudines, Emydidae.
UAACAAACAGAGUUAGUCUCUAAGGUGCCACAAGGACUCCUCAUUGUUUUUGCUGCUUUACAGUUUCACUGUAAAGAUAGUCACCUGAAUCCUCGGUGUUUCUUGCCACAGUUCUGGAACUGCUGUGCAGUCUUUGAAAAGAAGCAGCGAUUUUGGGUCAAUUUUUUCAGUGAUUUCUUUGAAGACGACACCUGCUGUAAAUAGCAGUUUGGCUUUUGCUAAACUGUAGGCAAGGCAAAGAUCAUUCUGUGCAUCUUUGACAUCCUGGUUAAGAAAGUCGGUCAUUGACAUUACCUGGCUUCCUCUUUUUGCUUUGGCCUCCUUGAUGAAUUUGUCCUUCUCUAUACUCGACAUGUUAGAAGUCUUGGACAUUUUUUUCCACCACUUCUCAGCAUGACAUGUUGCCGACCCAUGGUCUGACGUGAAAACGCAGAGUCCCAUCAACCGUUGUCUGGUGGUUUGGGUCACCGCUACAUGCAGCAAAAACGGAUGGACUCUUCUUCUCUACUGGCUUUUUCUUCUGAGCUAAUUAAUAUUAGGGAUAUUUCAUAUGACGCCUCUACCACGGAGUUCAAUUUCUCAGGUUUGUUUACUUAAAAACCACUGCUGUGCUGGGGUCUUCCUUUUUAAUAUGAAAUCAGAUUGCAAAGCAGAUCCGACGGGAUAUUUUGGGUUAAUUUUGACAUGGGUUUGUGUAAAAUACGGCUCUAAAUUGAACUUUUUCCACCCGGUUUUAGCAUUAUGUGCCAAACAGACAGUUUGAAAUCUUUCUCUUCUCUAAACAACAACUGGGUUUCCCACCUCAUGUUAAAUUUUGUGAUAUCAUCUUCAUAUUUUUGUUUUGAUGUGCUGGGCCUACUCGAGGACAUUUUGAUGAUGAUGGAUGAUGAUAAUACACCAACUCUGAAAAAGUUUAUUCACGUCUGAAGUAGCUUGCAGCGUCAGUAGAAAAUGUGUGGUGGGUGAGGGUCUGGCUGGGCUCUGCUGCUGUUCCUUGUCCCUCCUUGUCUUCUUUCUGGAACAGCAGAGCUGGCUACCUGGGACACCCCUGUGUUUUACCCCACUCGGGUCCUAUUGACUGAAAGUUGCUCGUGUUGGUUGUUCAUUAUUUUUGUUUCAAUUCUUAGAUGUUUUGACUUCUGUGCACGCCGCAAACAACGUGAUUUUAUAAUUGUGUUUCGUGCCAGUGCCGAAGGCCCGAUGAGCCACUUGCAUCACAUGUGCCACGGAUGCCACCCCCACAGUAACGGCAUCCUCAGGCGGCCAGUUAAACUGGUUUUACAGACUUUUGUGCCACCAGGGCAACCGGAAGUGCCAUAGUGGGUCGGAGAAUCUGACCCGUGAGUGCCCAAGGUACAAGUGGAGUCUGUGUGGGCAGGCCUCGAUGCCGGGAUUGGUAUGUAGCUGUUCACUGUGCUCCCCUGGGACCUAGCUGCUUUGCCUUCCCCACCCCGUGGGUUUCUCCCGCUUCACCCAGGGGCAGGGAAGUCCAUGGUGCAGGCGAAGCGGCUGGAGGCACAAUGGGCUGAACACAGCUAAGCUGAGCCGGGGGGUGAUCUGGUCCCGAGUGAGCGAAAUCGUGGCUCUUACCUUCAACUGCUAGACACACAGCCACAGGACGCUCCCAAGAGCUGGUACACUGGAUUUCCCCGUGCCUUGGCCUUGGACACGUGGGGUCAUCGCUGCAGGUCGGUGCUCUGACUUGUGCAGAAGCAUCACUGUCACCAGGCGACUGGCCCUUGUAAGGGGGAGCAGGGUCCAGUGCACCUCUGCCUGAUUAGCUGUUUCCCUGUUGGGCUUAAGGGCAGGAGAUAGCAGCAGGGGACGGGCUGCUCUCUGGGGGCCUCUCUCAGCCCAGGGAGGUAAGGGACAGAAUUACUCAGAGAGCUGCUGGAAGGGAUCCUGGUGGAAGCAGCUGGGGAAAUUGUGGGAGGAGAUGGGCUAUCGACAACACAAUGAAACUCAAUAAAGACAAAUGUGAGGUGAUGUGAUGAAGUGGGGGGUUUUCUUGUUUUCUGUGGAGUUUCAAUGGUUUGCAUGCGGAGGGGGUGGGACUCAGUUUCCCUGGGUGUUACUGGUUUAACGAGGUGAGGGGAGAGGGAGUGUGUUUUGCAGAGGACCGGAGAGAGGACGUGGGGACCCAGCCGAUGGCCGGGAGGAUGGAUACCCCAGCGACCGGUGACCUGAGACCCCGACCCGGAGGCCCAGCUGAGGAGACUCAGCCGGUUCUGGCCAGUGGGCGGACAGUGGGCUGCAGAGUGAGGACCCAGUGACCUAACCAGCCGGUUCCAGCCAGAGGACAGAAGCAGGAGAGGAGGCCCCGGUUUACGACCCACUUUACCUGGAGAGAAGACAAUGGACAGAGAUGCUGCCAGGGCCACAGGCUGUCAUUUGCCAGAACUUCACAUACAACACACUGAGGC